AACGAACGCUGGCGGCGUGCCUAACACAUGCAAGUCGUGGGAGAAAGGGAGCUUCGGCUCCCGAGUAAACCGGCGCACGGGUGAGUAACACGUAGGUAACGUACCUUCGAGCCCGGGAUAACCAGCCGAAAGGUUGGCUAAUACCGGAUACGACCGAGAGGGCCCCGGCUCUUUCGGUGAAAGGCGGCCUCUGCUUGCAAGCUGUCAUUCGAAGCGCGGCCUGCGCACCAUUAGCUAGUUGGUGGGGAACGGCCCACCAAGGCUGAGAUGGUUAGCUGGUCUGAGAGGAUGGCCAGCCACACUGGGACUGAGACACGGCCCAGACUCCUACGGGAGGCAGCAGUGGGGAAUAUUGCGCAAUGGGCGAAAGCCUGACGCAGCGACGCCGCGUGGGUGAUGAAGG
This 403-nucleotide ribosomal RNA is filed under the name uncultured bacterium. RNAcentral's name for it is "bacterial SSU rRNA". It matches the Rfam family "Bacterial small subunit ribosomal RNA", at positions 28 to 414 of the family's 1533-position model. The record is from RNAcentral.